RNAcentral lists this long non-coding RNA (564 nucleotides) under Homo sapiens (human). Its description in RNAcentral is "HSALNT0359762". The record is from RNAcentral. Lineage: Eukaryota; Metazoa; Chordata; Mammalia; Primates; Hominidae.
GUGAUUCUUGUGCCUCAGCCUCCUCAGCAGCUGCAACUACAGGACGGUGGGUGACUGGCUCCCCUGGCCCUUCCUUGCUCUCAGCAAGAGCUCCUGCCACUGCCACAGUGGAAAAGGCCUGAAUUUGGGAAAUGAAGACGUCAGAGACUCGCAACUUCUUCUGAAAGCCCAGCCAACUUUCCUACAAGCAUGACUGCAGACGUGGAAGAGAAAAGGCAGAUGGCCUGGGUUCAAAGCCCAGCUUAAAAACACAUAUUCUAGCUUUGUGACCUUGGUCAUUUUGGUUUUACUUCCCUCAUCUGUAAAACGGGGAGAAUAAAGGUCUCUAACUUAUCUGGUCACUGUGAGGACUAAAUGAGUUAAUAUAUGUAGUAUACGCAGAACUAUGCCUGAUGUAUGGUAAGUUCUUAGUGUGUUUAUUGUUGUUGUUACAGGCUUAACCAUAGAUGGGCAGGGUUUCCUUUAAAAUUUCCUUUCAAUUUCCCUUUUAACCCCCAAAAAGUAUUCCAUAAAGAAACACAGGGCCCAGUGUGGUGGCUCAUGCCUGUAAUCCCAGCACUUUGG